This is a long non-coding RNA of Oncorhynchus keta (chum salmon), 2061 nucleotides long. RefSeq lists it as uncharacterized. The record is from RefSeq and is a predicted model, not a curated record. The transcript has 6 exons. Lineage: Eukaryota; Metazoa; Chordata; Actinopteri; Salmoniformes; Salmonidae.
GCUGACUACAACAGGUGUAGUAGACCUUACAGUGAAAUGCUGAAUACAACAGGUGUAGGUAGACCUCACAGUGAAAUGCUGAAUACAACAGGCGUAGUAGACCUUACAGUGAAAUGCUGACUACAACAGGUGUAGUAGACCUUACAGUGAAAUGCUGAAUACAACAGGUGUAGGUAGACCUCACAGUGAAAUGCUGAAUACAACAGGCGUAGUAGACCUUACAGUGAAAUGCUGACUACAACAGGUGUAGUAGACCUUACAGUGAAAUGCUGAAUACAACAGGUGUAGGUAGACCUCACAGUGAAAUGCUGAAUACAACAGGCGUAGUAGACCUUACAGUGAAAUGCUGACUACAACAGGUGUAGUAGACCUUACAGUGAAAUGCUGAAUACAACAGGUGUAGGUAGACCUCACAGUGAAAUGCUGAAUACAACAGGCGUAGUAGACCUUACAGUGAAAUGCUGACUACAACAGGUGUAGUAGACCUUACAGUGAAAUGCUGAAUACAACAGGUGUAGGUAGACCUCACAGUGAAAUGCUGAAUACAACAGGCGUAGUAGACCUUACAGUGAAAUGCUGACUACAACAGGUGUAGUAGACCUUACAGUGAAAUGCUGAAUACAACAGGUGUAGUAGACCUUACAGUGAAAUGCUGAAUACAACAGGUGUAGUAGACCUUACAGUGAAAUGCUGAAUACAACAGGUGUAGUAGACCUCACAGUGAAAUGCUGAAUACAACAGGUGUAGGUAGACCUUACAGUGAAAUGCUGAAUACAACAGGUGUAGUAGACCUUACAGUGAAAUGCUGAAUACAACAGGUGUAGUAGACCUUACAGUGAAAUGCUGAAUACAACAGGUGUAGUAGACCUUACAGUGAAAUGCUGAAUACAACAGGUGUAGUAGACCUUACAGUGAAAUGCUGAAUACAACAGGUGUAGUAGACCUUACAGUGAAAUGCUGAAUACAACAGGUGUAGUAGAACUUACAGUGAAAUGCUGAAUACAACAGGUGUAGUAGACCUCACAGUGAAAUGCUGAAUACAACAGGUGUAGGUAGACCUCACAGUGAAAUGCUGAAUACAACAGGUGUAGUAGACCUCACAGUGAAAUGCUGAACACAACAGGUGUAGGUAGACCUCACAGUGAAAUGCUGAAUACAACAGAUGUAGGUAAACCUUACAGUGAAAUGCUGAAUUCAUUAGGUGUAGUAGACCUCACAGUGAAAUGCUGAAUACAACAGGUGUAGGUAGACCUCACAGUGAAAUGCUGAAUACAACAGGUGUAGUAGACCUUACAGUGAAAUGCUGAAUACAACAGGUGUAGUAGACCUUACAGUGAAAUGCUGAAUACAACAGGUGUAGUAGACCUUACAGUGAAAUGCUGAAUACAACAGGUGUAGUAGACCUCACAGUGAAAUGCUGAAUACAACAGGUGUAGUAGACCUCACAGUGAAAUGCUGAAUACAACAGGUGUAAUAGACCUUACAGUGAAAUGCUGAAUACAACAGGUGUAGUAGACCUUACAGUGACAUGCUGAAUACAACAGGUGUAGUAGACCUCACAGUGAAAUGCUAAAUACAACAGGUGUAGUAGACCUCACAGUGAAAUGCUAAAUACAACAGGUGUAGUAGACCUCACAGUGAAAUGCUGAAUACAACAGGUGUAGUAGACCUCACAGUGAAAUGCUGAAUACAACAGGUGUAGUAGACCGCACAGUGAAAUGCUGAAUACAACAGGUGUAGUCGACCGCACAGUGAAAUGCUGAAUACAACAGGUGUAGUAGACCUCACAGUGAAAUGAUGAAUACAACAGGUGUAGUAGACCUCACAGUGAAAUGCUGAAUACAACAGGUGUAGUAGACCUCACAGUGAAAUGCUGAAUACAACAGGUGUAGUAGACCUCACAGUGAAAUGAUGAAUACAACAGGUGUAGUAGACCUCACAGUGAAAUGCUGAAUACAACAGGUGUAUUAGACCUUACAGUGAAAUGCUGAAUACAACAGGUGUAGUAGACCUCACAGUGAAAUGCUGAAUACAACAGGUGUAGUAGACCUCACAGUGAAA